Molecule: ribosomal RNA, 484 nt
Filed under: uncultured bacterium
Lineage: Bacteria
Description: partial 16S ribosomal RNA
Rfam family: Bacterial small subunit ribosomal RNA
Source: RNAcentral
AUUGAACGCUCGCGGGAUGCUUUACACAUGCAAGUCGAACGGCAGCGCGGACUUCGGUCUGGCGGCGAGUGGCGAACGGGUGAGUAACGUAUCGGAACGUGCCCAGUAGCGGGGGAUAACUACGCGAAAGCGUAGCUAAUACCGCAUACGCCCUACGGGGGAAAGCAGGGGGUCGUAAGACCUUGCACUAUUGGAGCGGCCGAUAUCGGAUUAGCUAGUUGGUGAGGUAACGGCUCACCAAGGCGACGAUCCGUAGCUGGUUUGAGAGGACGACCAGCCACACUGGGACUGAGACACGGCCCAGACUCCUACGGGAGGCAGCAGUGGGGAAUUUUGGACAAUGGGGGCAACCCUGAUCCAGCCAUCCCGCGUGUGCGAUGAAGGCCUUCGGGUUGUAAAGCACUUUUGGCAGGAAAGAAACGUCGCGGGCUAAUACCCCGUGGAACUGACGGUACCUGCAGAAUAAGCACCGGCUAACUACGUG